UGACCUCUGCGAUACUAGUGCAGCGCUCUACCAAUUGAGCUAACAAAUACACAAACAAAGUCAAAAAUCUUAAGAAACGGUUAAAAAAAUUAAAGUUCCAUCGGGAUUAAUUGAUUAUAGAAUCUCCGUUUGCGGCUAACAACACAAAUCAUUGUUUUAUUUUCAUUUCCUCCGCGUCAAGGCAGAGGAGCUCUUAGAUCAAUUCUCAGUAGAUGCUUAUCCGGUAAGGAGUUCGGAGUUUUUUAAAGUCAGGAGUUUUUUAAUCCUCGGAGGCAAAAUCCAAUGUAAGUCGUGUCAGUUACGUUCUAUUUUUUGCUAGCGCUUUUGUUCAAUCUGUAGCUUUUUCAGUUUCCCUUAUUUCAAGAUAUUCCGUAUUUCUUUAUUUUUCACUACAUGUGCUGCAUAAAGGGGUCUCAAAUAAACAAAUAUGAAACCUGUUGCCAGCCUCAGACAUCACAGGUGGUUGACCUGCACUCACCCCUGUCUGCGGCACCGGUAACGCGAUUAACGAGUAAACAAGCUUAAUCGUCUUUAGGAAUUGAAAAUUGUUGAUUUUUCAAACUGUAUCUGCAAGGGUUACGUUAAACCUAAACAUUGGACUAUAUGUUUUUGAAAAAAAUGUUUACGGCGUACUUCCGGUUUGCGUGCUGAGAUCGCGUGACUUAUAUUCAUACGCCCCAAGUAUAGUGAUCAGCGGUAUGCGUCAACACGAUAAAACAUGGUGGUUGUGGAUUCCGAAAGUUUCAAGACAACCUUCCCAAAAUACGUCUCCAUACUUUGCUCCAGAAGAAUCAGAAAAUGUUUUGCUGUCUUUUAAACAGCAUUAUGGUGGGAAAUUCAACUCCCUAGACGAUUCCGAUUUUCUGAAGUUCUUUCAUCUUCUUGUGAUGCAUGGGUAUUCCACCCGAAGUAGUAAAACAAAUUAUCUAGAUCGUUGAGGAUUGAACUGAAAAUCGUGAGACUUAGAGGUCUGAAGUGGCCAGUAACAACUGUUAAAACAAUUUUAGUUUGUUCAUUAGCCAAACUGGCUAGUGGAAAUCGAAAACCACUAACCAAAACUGAAUUUCUGCUAGUCUGUGUCUAGUUGGCCACCGUUAGUGUCGAGCCCUGACAAAGUACUUGUAUACAAACCUAUUAUAAGCGGGGAUUGUUAACUUGCUGUUUCAACAAAUUUUGGGAAUGUGAGUACAAAGAAAUGUGUAGAAAAUAGAAACUGAUCUGCGAAAUCCCAUUUUUAGAGUUAAAGAACUCAGUACAUAAAUCGGUUCGACCAUCAUGUUUUAAGGUUAGAAAUGUGGACAAACUGUUGAAAAAAAUCAGUGUCAAAGAGCCCUCAUUCUCUCUUGGUGUACAAUAGAGUGCACGAUCACAUCAGCGAGCAAUAUUUGCCCUAUUGGACAGUACACAUCUUUGGAUAGGAGAUUUUAGCGCUCAAUUCUUCGUUAUUGAAUGUAGCGUGACCAGCCUCUUCCACACCUGUUUUGUUACGUCACGCGUUCACCCUCUGGUGGGGAACCGCUGCACAACUUCUGAAACACGGAAGGUUUGCAGCAGCAUUCAUUUCAUAAUUUCAUAAACCUUUUCCCGCGAUGCGACCGGAGAAAUUUCAGCACACAAUAUGACAUCAUCCAAAAAAAGAAAAAUUUAAAACAAGUUUGUUCGGUGUAAGAUUAGCACGAGUUAGGUGCAGUUUGAAGCGAUUUGUAGGUUGCUAAUGAAAUAACUGAGUGUUGCUUAAAACUUACUUAUGAAGCAUACCCUGUCAUCCUGCAGGUGAGUAAUUUCUCAAUUUUCAGAACGCAGAACGCACGCUUUGAUUGCGUUAUCAUGUAAUGCAGUGUUCUGUUUACAUUCCUUACAUAGGUUCUCCUUUUUCGCGCGCUUUUUUUACCAUUUGCUUAUUAGCCAAUCAGCAGCAAAUAAAAAGCGUUCAAACGUACUGCAUGCUGGGGAGUUUCAAUAGAACCUUUCGGAAGUAGUUUUCUCUGGAUUUGAACGAACAGUGAUUGGGAAUCCUGUGAAAGGUUAUGCCUCUAUCUCAUGAAGACUGAUCUUUGUAGUCAAAGAGAAGAUUCGAUGCCAGACGGCGUUUGAUUUAGGUUCGAUCUAUAUGAGGUCUUUUAGGUGUUCAAAGAAAAUUUAAGUCGGCUCACCGUAUCACCAUCACAAGAAAUUUUCUACAUCACAGUAAUGGCCUCUGCUAUUUCGAAUGAGGAGUUUGAUAACUCAGGCGAGGCAAGUGAAAUAUAAGUUUCAGUUUCGUAAAUUUCAAUAUGUUUUAUCAGUGUAGUUUCUUAAACCUUCGCACUUCGCACUGUUCUUAGUAUAAAUUUUGAUGUAUUAAAAAGGAAAUUGAUCGAAAACAUUUUUAUUAUGCUUGAGUUUUUACUCAAGUCCUGAUUCUAAAUAUAAGUAGUUCUAUUAAGUACUGCAAAGUGAGUUUUAUGCACGUUGCUGUAAGCAUUUGUGUUGCUUAAAACGGUAAACUCUGAACGUUCACAGGGAUUUGUCACCUUAGUGCUAUGUAAUCGGAGAUGUGUGAUACAAAUGAGAUGGAGGUCUCUUUAUCACGAGUCUUCAUUACUUCAUUAAGUCUAUUCAUAACUGAACCUUCAAAUUUCUUCUGACGCGUUGAAUUUUAAAGGAAAUGAUGGAGAAAGCAAGCGGGGAUUUUAUGAGCUGCUUCUUGUGCGAGAACAAUACUGAGGACAGCUCAGUGUCGUGUAGAAGAGUAACAAGAACUACGCUGAGCAUCAGCUGAGGAACAUAUAUGGUCAUGAAAGGACACAGCAGUUUGGGACUAGACCACAAAGAUGUAUAGUAGUCAUUUAGGGUAAAAGCUUACUGAUUAUUAUAUGGAAAGAAAAAGAAUAAAAGAAAUAUGGCCAGGUUAAAUAUUCAUUUGACAAUUUUAAUGAAAAAAAAAAAAAAGAAAAGAAAAGUAGCUGGGUUCUUGGCUAGUGUAAACAGGCAAAAAAUGCCAAGGUCUGUCCUGAUAGCCACCACUGUUGUUUGUUAUUCAUCCACUCUUUAACUCACCUCCACUGACUCAAGGCAAGAAACAAGCUUGCUACAGUUUGUACACCUCUCUGAGUGCUGACCCUGGUUAUCUUGGCUAACUAGCCAGAAUAGGAGUUACUGGUAUCUGACAAUUAAAAAA
Molecule: long non-coding RNA, 3160 nt
Organism: Stylophora pistillata
Lineage: Eukaryota; Metazoa; Cnidaria; Anthozoa; Scleractinia; Pocilloporidae
Source: RefSeq, a predicted model, not a curated record